RNAcentral lists this ribosomal RNA (253 nucleotides) under uncultured bacterium. RNAcentral describes it as "partial 16S ribosomal RNA". It matches the Rfam family "Bacterial small subunit ribosomal RNA", at positions 524 to 776 of the family's 1533-position model. The record is from RNAcentral.
UACGUAGGGGGCUAGCGUUGUCCGGAAUCAUUGGGCGUAAAGAGCGUGUAGGCGGCCCGAUAAGUCCGCUGUGAAAGUCCAGGGCUCAACCCUGGAAUGCCAGUGGAAACUGUCGGGCUGGAGUCCGGAAGAGGCGAGUGGAGUUCCUGGUGUAGCGGUGAAAUGCGCAGAUAUCAGGAGGAACACCAAUGGCGAAGGCAGCUCGCUGGGACGGUACUGACGCUGAGAAGCGAAAGCAUGGGGGGCGAACAGG